This 498-nucleotide unclassified non-coding RNA is filed under the name Hevea brasiliensis (rubber tree). The record is from RNAcentral. Lineage: Eukaryota; Viridiplantae; Streptophyta; Magnoliopsida; Malpighiales; Euphorbiaceae.
UUUCUACUCCUCUUGUGAGAUGGGCAUUGAAUAAGAUCUGAAUUUCUCAAAUAGAAGCUUACAAAUUAAUAAUACUGCUGAUGCAAGAACCCAGAUAUUACCAUCCUUCAAAUUGACAAUAAUAAUCUGCAAGCUUGCGGCAGAACACAUCCCAGAAGCUAUGAUCCCUUGAAUAAUAUAGCAAUUGAAAGUAUACCUGGAGUUCUGCAGUCACUGUAAUCAGCAUAUAACUAUGGUAGAUAUCUUGAACCAAUAGUCUGAAAAUUAGAGCAGCACAUGAGAUCAAAAUCAUUGCAGUUUUUCCAACUCUUCCUAUCUCAUGUUAGUCAACAAUCGGACCAAUAGAUUCUACGUAGAAUAUAAAAAAUGAAAAAUUAAACCAUAUGAUAACUAUACCAAUUGCAAUGAAGGUAACCUAACAAGAAAAAAGAUAUGCACAGAAAACUCAACUGUUUUUCUUCAUUGAACAAUAUAUAGAAGCUUUGUAGAAGUGGCGGG